Molecule: ribosomal RNA, 254 nt
Filed under: uncultured bacterium
Lineage: Bacteria
Description: partial 16S ribosomal RNA
Rfam family: Bacterial small subunit ribosomal RNA
Source: RNAcentral
GACGAACCGUGCGAACGUUAUUCGGAAUCACUGGGCUUAAAGCGCGUGUAGGCGGGCCGCCACGUCGGCUGCUGAAAUCCCCCGGCUCAACCGGGGAAGGGGCACCGAUACGGGCGGCCUGGAGGGGGGUAGGGGGGUCUGGAACUUCCGGUGGAGCGGUGAAAUGCGUUGAGAUCGGAAGGAACGCCCGUGGCGAAAGCGAGGCCCUGGACCCUUACUGACGCUGAGACGCGAAAGCCAGGGGAGCGAACGGG